RNAcentral lists this ribosomal RNA (164 nucleotides) under uncultured bacterium. Its description in RNAcentral is "partial 16S rRNA". It matches the Rfam family "Bacterial small subunit ribosomal RNA", at positions 355 to 511 of the family's 1533-position model. The record is from RNAcentral.
UAGGGAAUCUUCCACAAUGGGCGCAAGCCUGAUGGAGCAACACCGCCUGAGUGAAGAAGGGUUUCGGCUCGUAAAGCUCUGUUGUUAAAGAAGAACACGUAUGAGAGUAACUGUUCAUACGUUGACGGUAUUUAACCAGAAAGUCACGGCUAACUACGUGCCAG